CCUACGGGUGGCAGCAGUCGAGAAUCAUUCACAAUGGGGGAAACCCUGAUGGUGCGACGCCGCGUGGGGGAAUGAAGGUCUUCGGAUUGUAAACCCCUGUCAUGUGGGAGCAAAUUAAAAAGAUAGUACCACAAGAGGAAGAGACGGCUAACUCUGUGCCAGCAGCCGCGGUAAUACAGAGGUCUCAAGCGUUGUUCGGAAUCACUGGGCGUAAGGCGUGCGUAGGCUGUUUCGUAAGUCGUGUGUGAAAGGCGCGGGCUCAACCCGCGGACGGCACAUGAUACUGGGAGACUGGAGUAAUGGAGGGGGAACCGGAAUUCUCGGUGUAGCAGUGAAAUGCGUAGAUAUCGAGAGGAACACUCGUGGCGAAGGCGGGUUCCUGGACAUUAACUGACGCUGAGGCACGAAGGCCAGGGGAGCGAAAGGGAUUAGAUACCCCAGUAGUC
RNAcentral lists this ribosomal RNA (446 nucleotides) under uncultured bacterium. Its description in RNAcentral is "partial 16S ribosomal RNA". It matches the Rfam family "Bacterial small subunit ribosomal RNA", at positions 338 to 795 of the family's 1533-position model. The record is from RNAcentral.